UAAAAAGAGUACAUGAAGUGACAGUUGAGGACAAUGACAUGCUGAAGGAUUAUUUAGAUUUGUGGUUUAGGGUGUAUGCCAGGACACGAUCACAUACAAGUGGAUCCAACGGUCACACCAGUGUCGUUCAUGCGCCACGAAAAGUUCCAGUUGCCUUGAAAGGCAAGAUAAUCGAGGAAUUACACAGAUGGGUAAAAGAUGGAUGUAAUCGCCAGACAAACGGAACCAAAAGAUUGGAUGCAAACCAAGGUUUCGGCAGAUUAAAUUGGAUGAUGAGUGCUCCAAGAUGUGUACAUUCAACACACCCAUAGGAAGAUACCGAUUCCCACGUCUACCUUUUGGAAUGUCAUCGGCAUUAGAGUUUCAUUAAAUUGUGAAUAGGGAAGACAUGUUGUCAAAAGGAAAACACCCAAGAACGGCAGGUAGGGUGUAUGGUAAGACCCUGGCAACAGGCCAGGGGACUGCCCCUCUUGAGCUGUCUAGUCACCAGGUGAGUUGCUUUCAGUUAUUUAUGGUUGUAAGCUUUGGGGUAUUUUUUU
Long non-coding RNA from Scleropages formosus (Asian bonytongue), 539 nucleotides. RefSeq lists it as uncharacterized. The record is from RefSeq and is a predicted model, not a curated record. Lineage: Eukaryota; Metazoa; Chordata; Actinopteri; Osteoglossiformes; Osteoglossidae. The transcript has 3 exons.